AGUGAACGCUGGCGAUAGGCCUAACACAUGCAAGUCGAACGGCGGCACAGUAAGAGCUUGCUCUUACGGGUGGCGAGUGGCGGACGGGUGAGGAAUACAUCGGAAUCUACUUUUUCGUGGGGGAUAACGUAGGGAAACUUACGCUAAUACCGCGUACGACCUACGGGUGAAAGCAGGGGAUCUUCGGACCUUGCGCGAUUGAAUGAGCCGAUGUCGGAUUAGCUAGUUGGCGGGGUAAAGGCCCACCAAGGCGACGAUCCGUAGCUGGUCUGAGAGGAUGAUCAGCCACACUGGAACUGAGACACGGUCCAGACUCCUACGGGAGGCAGCAGUGGGGAAUAUUGGACAAUGGGCGCAAGCCUGAUCCAGCCAUACCGCGUGGGUGAAGAAGGCCUUCGGGUUGUAAAGCCCUUUUGUUGGGAAAGAAAAGCAGCAGGUUAAUACCCCGCUGUUCUGACGGUACCCAAAGAAUAAGCACCGGCUAACUUCGUG
Molecule: ribosomal RNA, 492 nt
Filed under: uncultured bacterium
Lineage: Bacteria
Description: partial 16S ribosomal RNA
Rfam family: Bacterial small subunit ribosomal RNA
Source: RNAcentral